AGUUUGGUGCAGUGGCAGUAUCACAGCCAGUGAGGUUUACUCAAAGUGUGAUCAUUACUAAUUGAAACUUUAUAUAUCUUGCAUUGAAUCUGUUUCUCUAGUAAGCACUAACUGAUGCAAUAUUAUUAAUCUUUGACCCUUUUUAUGG
RNAcentral lists this small nuclear RNA (148 nucleotides) under Fukomys damarensis (Damara mole-rat). RNAcentral's name for it is "U4 spliceosomal RNA". It matches the Rfam family "U4 spliceosomal RNA". From Rfam's summary of the family: U4 small nuclear RNA (U4 snRNA) is a component of the major U2-dependent spliceosome. The structure of U4 snRNA from yeast and human has been reported. Lineage: Eukaryota; Metazoa; Chordata; Mammalia; Rodentia; Bathyergidae. The record is from Rfam by way of RNAcentral.